GCAUAUCAUCAAUUCUCUGAUAAGGACCAGUCCUUGCCAUGUCAUUGGCAGCUGGUACCAUGCAGUCAAUACAAAUGCCCUGGGUAUCACCUCCCUCCCCCUCACUAUCCUGUGAGUGUUCAUCAACUACUGUGUCUGUUUUCAAACAGUACAUAUUGUUAGGAUACGCUAUCGCAUUCUCAGAGCUUUCUACAGAAGAAAUAUUGGAUAGAGAUGAAGAUGAACUCCU
Molecule: unclassified non-coding RNA, 229 nt
Filed under: Hevea brasiliensis (rubber tree)
Lineage: Eukaryota; Viridiplantae; Streptophyta; Magnoliopsida; Malpighiales; Euphorbiaceae
Source: RNAcentral